UGAACAGCCUCUUCCUGCGCAAGGACA
Molecule: non-coding RNA, 27 nt
Filed under: Homo sapiens (human)
Lineage: Eukaryota; Metazoa; Chordata; Mammalia; Primates; Hominidae
Source: RNAcentral